GACUAUGAAGAUUCAGAAAUGAAGACGACGGAAGACGGAAGCAAAGAGGAAUCUGGAAUGACUAUGAAGAUUCAAAAAUGAAGACGACGGAAGCAAAGACGAAUCUGGAAUCUUCUCAGAAACAGGAUUAUGGAGAUUCAGAAAUGAAGACGAUGGAGGACGAAAAAAAGACCAAUCUAGAAUGUAUGUGAAU
Molecule: non-coding RNA, 193 nt
Organism: Styela clava
Lineage: Eukaryota; Metazoa; Chordata; Ascidiacea; Stolidobranchia; Styelidae
Source: RefSeq, a predicted model, not a curated record